Long non-coding RNA from Dendronephthya gigantea, 739 nucleotides. RefSeq lists it as uncharacterized. The transcript has 7 exons. Lineage: Eukaryota; Metazoa; Cnidaria; Anthozoa; Malacalcyonacea; Nephtheidae. The record is from RefSeq and is a predicted model, not a curated record.
GACUUUCAAGACUGCAGGAACGAAUCUGAGGUGAGGAGUAGUUAUGAUUUAAGUAAAGCAAAACGACGUAAUUGCCAUAAUAAUUCAUGUAGACUAAACAGUCUUUUUUAAAGAUGAAGAACAUAUUCAUUGUGGUAAUUCUCCUCAUUGCUCAAGUUUUCACAGUUUCAACUGCUCCCAUAGUUGGAGAACAGGCGAAUUGUGUUGAAGGCGAACCAUUGCAAGGCCAAAGUCAACCGGAUCUGAACAUUACCAUCCUACCAUCCCGGGAAAUACUUUCUCUGUGACCUCUGGGAAUCAUUUGUGAUGCAAAUGUGGCGCGUUUCCCGCCCAAAGCGUUGCCUGGUCCAGCACCUCCACCAGUGAAAAUUACGAUCCGUAUUGGAAUUUACACCGUAAAAGUAUGCACAAGUAACACUGGGAUCUACCAAUGUUCUUAUACUCUGUCAAGUUUCUUCCCGGGUCUACCACAACGAAUUAGUUGUACUACUUCAACCGAAGAUAAGCAAUGUCGCUUCAAGACAGCUAACAUUACCAUUCUACCACAGCCGCCAACAGCUGGAGUUACAACUACCAGCACACCAGGCGGAGAUAGCACUACCAGCACACCAGUUGCGACAACCACAGACCAGGUCAUCCCUCCAAUAUCAACAACAACCCCUAAACCCAGAAAGAAAGAUGAUGACGACGACAGUGAUGACAGUGAUGAUAGCGACAGCGAUGAUAGCGACAGCGAUGA